This 79-nucleotide microRNA precursor is filed under the name Ovis aries (sheep). RNAcentral describes it as "miRNA (ENSOARG00000022168.1)". Lineage: Eukaryota; Metazoa; Chordata; Mammalia; Artiodactyla; Bovidae. The record is from RNAcentral.
UGCAGUGCUGGGUUCCAGGACACCAAUCCAGAAUGGUCUUGCCCACAAGGAGCUCACAGUCCAGUGGGGAGGAAGUCCA